This 728-nucleotide ribosomal RNA is filed under the name uncultured eukaryote. RNAcentral describes it as "SSU rRNA". It matches the Rfam family "Eukaryotic small subunit ribosomal RNA", at positions 557 to 1295 of the family's 1831-position model. The record is from RNAcentral.
UAGUCUGGUGCCAGCAGCCGCGGUAAUUCCAGCUCCAAUAGCGUAUAUUUAAGUUGUUGCAGUUAAAAAGCUCGUAGUUGGAUUUCGGGUAGGGGGCGCCGGUCCGCUUCGGUGUGCACUGGCGGCCCAUACCUUCUUGUCGGGGAUGCGCUCUGGUAUUGGUUUAUCGGACGCGGAGUCGGCGCUGUUACUUUGAAAAAAUUAGAGUGUUCAAAGCAGGCUUUCGCUUGAAUACAUUAGCAUGGAAUAACAUGAUAGGACUCCGGUUCCAUUGUGUUGGUCUUCGGGACUGGAGUAAUGAUUAAGAGGGACAGUUGGGGGCAUUCGUAUUUCAUUGUCAGAGGUGAAAUUCUUGGAUUUAUGAAAGACGAACUUCUGCGAAAGCAUUUGCCAAGGAUGUUUUCAUUAAUCAAGAACGAAAGUUGGGGGCUCGAAGAUGAUUAGAUACCAUCGUAGUCUCAACCAUAAACGAUGCCGACUAGGGAUUGGCGGAUGUUACUUGAUGACUUCGCCAGCACCUUGUGAGAAAUCAAAGUCUUUGGGUUCCGGGGGGAGUAUGGUCGCAAGGCUGAAACUUAAAGGAAUUGACGGAAGGGCACCACCAUGGCGUGGAGCCUGCGGCUUAAUUUGACUCAACACGGGGAAACUUACCAGGUCCAGACACAAUAAUGAUUGACAGAUUGAUAGCUCUUUCUUGAUUCUGUGGGCGGUGGUGCAUGGCCGUUCUU